GGUGAGUAACACGUGGGUAACCUGCCUGUAAGACUGGGAUAACUCCGGGAAACCGGAGCUAAUACCGGAUAGUUCCUUGAACCGCAUGGUUCAAGGAUGAAAGACGGUUUCGGCUGUCACUUACAGAUGGACCCGCGGCGCAUUAGCUAGUUGGUGGGGUAAUGGCUCACCAAGGCGACGAUGCGUAGCCGACCUGAGAGGGUGAUCGGCCACACUGGGACUGAGACACGGCCCCAGACUCAUACGGGAGGCAGCAGUAGGGAAUCUUCCGCAAUGGACGAAAGUCUGACGGAGCAACGCCGCGUGAGUGAUGAAGGUUUUCGGAUCGUAAAGCUCUGUUGUUAGGGAAGAACAAGUGCGAGAGUAACUGCUCGCACCUUGACGGUACCUAACCAGAAAGCCACGGCUAACUACGUGCCAGCAGCCGCGGUAAUACGUAGGUGGCAAGCGUUGUCCGGAAUUAUUGGGCGUAAAGGGCUCGCAGCGGUUUCUUAAGUCUGAUGUGAAAGCCCCCGGCUCAACCGGGGAGGGUCAUUGGAAACUGGGAAACUUGAGUGCAGAAGAGGAGAGUGGAAUUCCACGUGUAGCGGUGAAAUGCGUAGAGAUGUGGAGGAACACCAGUGGCGAAGGCGACUCUCUGGUCUGUAACUGACGCUGAGGAGCGAAAGCGUGGGGAGCGAACAGGAUUAGAUACCCUGGUAGUCCACGCCGUAAACGAUGAGUGCUAAGUGUUAGGGGGUUUCCGCCCCUUAGUGCUGCAGCUAACGCAUUAAGCACUCCGCCUGGGGAGUACGGUCGCAAGACUGAAACUCAAAGGAAUUGAC
RNAcentral lists this ribosomal RNA (824 nucleotides) under Bacillus pumilus. Its description in RNAcentral is "bacterial SSU rRNA". It matches the Rfam family "Bacterial small subunit ribosomal RNA", at positions 105 to 914 of the family's 1533-position model. Lineage: Bacteria; Bacillati; Bacillota; Bacilli; Caryophanales; Bacillaceae. The record is from RNAcentral.